CCUACGGGUGGCAGCAGUGAGGAAUAUUGGUCAAUGGACGCAAGUCUGAACCAGCCACGCCGCGUGAAGGAAGAAGGCUUUCUGAUUUGAAAACUGUUUUGUUAGGAGGGAAAACUGACAUUAGUGGAUCCGCCUGCAAGGACUGUACGAAUAAGGACAGCCUAACCCCGUGACAGCAGCCGCGGUAAUCCGGAGGGUUCAAGCGUUACCCGGAUUUAUUGGGGUUAAAGGGGGCGUAGGCGGGCGGUUAAGUUAGAGGUGAAGUCCCGAGGCUCAACUUCGGAAUUGCCUUUGAUACUGUUAGGCUAGAGAGUAGUUGCGGUGGGCGGAAUGUAUGGUGUAGCGGUGAAAUGCUUAGAGAUCAUACAGAACACCGAUUGCGAAGGCAGCUUACCGAGCUGCAUCUGACGUUGAGGCACGAAAGCGUGGGGAGCAAACAGGAUUAGAUACCCGAGUAGUC
RNAcentral lists this ribosomal RNA (460 nucleotides) under uncultured bacterium. RNAcentral describes it as "partial 16S ribosomal RNA". It matches the Rfam family "Bacterial small subunit ribosomal RNA", at positions 338 to 795 of the family's 1533-position model. The record is from RNAcentral.